Molecule: ribosomal RNA, 156 nt
Filed under: Brassica napus (rape)
Lineage: Eukaryota; Viridiplantae; Streptophyta; Magnoliopsida; Brassicales; Brassicaceae
Description: rRNA 5_8S_rRNA
Rfam family: 5.8S ribosomal RNA
About the family: 5.8S ribosomal RNA (5.8S rRNA) is a component of the large subunit of the eukaryotic ribosome. It is transcribed by RNA polymerase I as part of the 45S precursor that also contains 18S and 28S rRNA.
Source: RNAcentral
GACUUUCGGCAAUGGAUAUCUCGGCUCUCGAAUCGAUGAAGAACGUAGCAAAAUGCCAUACUUGGUGUGAAUUGCAGAAUCCCGUCAACCAUCGAGUCUUUGAAUGCAAGUUGCGCCCCAAGCCUUCUGGCCGAGGGCACGUCUGCUUGGGUGUUA